Molecule: ribosomal RNA, 366 nt
Filed under: Triticum aestivum (bread wheat)
Lineage: Eukaryota; Viridiplantae; Streptophyta; Magnoliopsida; Poales; Poaceae
Description: partial small subunit ribosomal RNA
Source: RNAcentral
AUGCGACGUUUCUACGGCGACGCUGACGCCUCCGACACAAUGGGUGGCGCAUGCGGGUAUGGCAACCUCUUCUCUGAAGGAUACGGGACACGCACGGCGGCUUUGAGCACCGUGCUAUUCAACAACGGCGCCGCGUGCGGGCAGUGUUACAAGAUCGCCUGUGAUCGCAAGCGCGCGGACCCGUUGUUUUGUAAGCCUGGCGUGACGGUGACCGUGACGGCCACUAACUUUUGCCCACCGAACGACGCCCUCCCCAAUGAUAAUGGUGGCUGGUGCAACACGCCAAGGCCGCACUUCGACAUGGCCCAGCCGGCCUGGGAGAAAAUCGGUGUUUAUAAAGGUGGCAUCAUCCCCGUAAUGUACUAG